ACGCUAGCGACAGGCUUAACACAUGCAAGUCGAGGGUCAGCACAGGUAGCAAUACCGGGUGGCGACCGGCGCACGGGUGAGUAACGCGUAUGCAACUUACCUAUCAGAGGGGGAUAACCCGGCGAAAGUCGGACUAAUACCGCAUGAAGCAGGGGUCCCGCAUGGGGAUAUUUGCUAAAGAUUCAUCGCUGAUAGAUAGGCAUGCGUUCCAUUAGGCAGUUGGCGGGGUAACGGCCCACCAAACCGACGAUGGAUAGGGGUUCUGAGAGGAAGGUCCCCCACAUUGGUACUGAGACACGGACCAAACUCCUACGGGAGGCAGCAGUGAGGAAUAUUGGUCAAUGGCCGAGAGGCUGAACCAGCCAAGUCGCGUGAGGGAUGAAGGUUCUAUGGAUCGUAAACCUCUUUUAUAAGGGAAUAAAGUGCGGGACGUGUCCCGUUUUGUAUGUACCUUAUGAAUAAGGAUCGGCUAACUCCGUGCCAGCAGCCGCGGUAAUACGGAGGAUCCGAGCGUUAUCCGGAUUUAUUGGGUUUAAAGGGUGCGUAGGCGGCCUUUUAAGUCAGCGGUGAAAGUCUGUGGCUCAACCAUAGAAUUGCCGUUGAAACUGGGGGGCUUGAGUAUGUUUGAGGCAGGCGGAAUGCGUGGUGUAGCGGUGAAAUGCAUAGAUAUCACGCAGAACCCCGAUUGCGAAGGCAGCCUGCCAAGCCAUUACUGACGCUGAUGCACGAAAGCGUGGGGAUCAAACAGGAUUAGAUACCCUGGUAGUCCACGCAGUAAACGAUGAUCACUAGCUGUUUGCGAUACACUGUAAGCGGCACAGCGAAAGCGUUAAGUGAUCCACCUGGGGAGUACGCCGGCAACGGUGAAACUCAAAGGAAUUGACGGGGGCCCGCACAAGCGGAGGAACAUGUGGUUUAAUUCGAUGAUACGCGAGGAACCUUACCCGGGUUUGAACGCAUUCGGACCGAGGUGGAAACACCUUUUCUAGCAAUAGCCGUUUGCGAGGUGCUGCAUGGUUGUCGUCAGCUCGUGCCGUGAGGCGUCGGCUUAAGUGCCAUAACGAGCGCAACCCUUGCCACUAGUUACUAACAGGUAAAGCUGAGGACUCUGGUGGGACUGCCAGCGUAAGCUGCGAGGAAGGCGGGGAUGACGUCAAAUCAGCACGGCCCUUACAUCCGGGGCGACACACGUGUUACAAUGGCGUGGACAAAGGGAAGCCACCUGGCGACAGGGAGCGAAUCCCCAAACCACGUCUCAGUUCGGAUCGGAGUCUGCAACCCGACUCCGUGAAGCUGGAUUCGCUAGUAAUCGCGCAUCAGCCAUGGCGCGGUGAAUACGUUCCCGGGCCUUGUACACACCGCCCGUCAAGCCAUGGGAGCCGGGGGUACCAGAAGUCCGUAACCGCGAGGAUCGGCCUAGGGUAAAACUGGUAA
Molecule: ribosomal RNA, 1434 nt
Filed under: uncultured organism
Description: 16S ribosomal RNA
Rfam family: Bacterial small subunit ribosomal RNA
Source: RNAcentral